GAUGAACGCUGGCGGCGUGCCUAAUACAUGCAAGUCGAGCGAACAGACGAGGAGCUUGCUCCUCUGACGUUAGCGGCGGACGGGUGAGUAACAUGUGGAUAAAAUACCUAUAAGACUGGGAUAACUUCGGGAAACCGGAGCUAAUACCGGAUAAUAUAUUGAACCGCAUGGUUCAAUAGUGAAAGACGGUUUUGCUGUUACUUAUAGAUGGAUCCGCGCCGCAUUAGCUAGUUGGUAAGGUAACGGCUUACCAAGGCAACGAUGCGUAGCCGACCUGAGAGGGUGAUCGGCCACACUGGAGCUGAGACGCGGUCCAAACUCCUACGGGAGGCAGCAGUAGGGAAUCUUCCGCAGUGGGCGAAAGCUUGACGGAGCAACGCCGCGUGAGUGAUGAAGGUCGUCGGAUCGUAGAACUCUAUUAUUAGGGAAGAACAAAUGUGUAAGUAACUAGGCACGUCUUGACGGAACCUUAACAGAAAAGCACGGCAAACGACGGGC
RNAcentral lists this ribosomal RNA (498 nucleotides) under uncultured bacterium. RNAcentral's name for it is "partial 16S ribosomal RNA". It matches the Rfam family "Bacterial small subunit ribosomal RNA", at positions 28 to 508 of the family's 1533-position model. The record is from RNAcentral.